This 251-nucleotide ribosomal RNA is filed under the name uncultured prokaryote. Its description in RNAcentral is "partial 16S rRNA". It matches the Rfam family "Bacterial small subunit ribosomal RNA", at positions 525 to 775 of the family's 1533-position model. The record is from RNAcentral.
ACGUAGGGGGCGAGCGUUAAUCGGAAUUACUGGGCGUAAAGCGUACGCAGGCGGUUAUUUAAGUCAUAAGUGAAAUCCCCAGGCUCAACCUGGGAACUGCAUUAGUAACUGCAUAACUUGAGUACGGGAGAGGGGGAUGGAAUUCCGCGUGUAGCAGUGAAAUGCGUAGAUAUGCGGAGGAACACCGAUGGCGAAGGCAAUCCCCUGGGCCUGUACUGACGCUCAUGUGCGAAAGCGUGGGGAGCAAACAG